GUGCCAGCCAACUGCGGCUGCCUGGGACACUCCAUCUUAAGUCCCUGUGCCUCUGCUGUGUGUUACUGAGUGCCUAGGCCAUGCCAGCCUGUAUUCAUCUGUACCAUGACCUGAAGAGGCAGAGGCUAUCGUUGUUGGUCCGGUCUCCACCUGGGGAAACUGAGGUUACACAGUGUCUGUGUGGUGAUGAGCAGGGCUUCAUCCAGUGCCCCUGUCCCCACCGAGGGGACUAUGGGAGCCAUGGAGGGUGCGUGAGCAGCAGGUGAGACUGGAGCCAGCUGAAAACUGGGAGACCGACCCAGCCAACAAACAAUGUCGGUCUCUGUCCUGGCACCCGCAGGAAACAAGCUCCUACUUCCAGAAAAAGUGCUCCUGGGACUCAAGGAUACCAAGCAUCUGGACGCAGUGGUAGAUGCCUGUAAUCCCAACACUUAGGCAGGAGGAUCACUCGAGCCCAGAAGAUCAAGACUAGCGUGAGCAACAAAAUCCUUCCCUGGCACCGGUUCCAGGAGGACCUGGUUCUUAGGCAGCAUCUGUAUCUCUGUUUUGUAAGACACACAG
This 561-nucleotide long non-coding RNA is filed under the name Pongo abelii (Sumatran orangutan). RNAcentral's name for it is "lincRNA". Lineage: Eukaryota; Metazoa; Chordata; Mammalia; Primates; Hominidae. The record is from RNAcentral.